This 266-nucleotide ribosomal RNA is filed under the name uncultured Rickettsia sp. RNAcentral describes it as "partial 16S ribosomal RNA". It matches the Rfam family "Bacterial small subunit ribosomal RNA", at positions 652 to 919 of the family's 1533-position model. Lineage: Bacteria; Pseudomonadati; Pseudomonadota; Alphaproteobacteria; Rickettsiales; Rickettsiaceae. The record is from RNAcentral.
UAGGGGAUGAUGGAAUUCCUAGUGUAGAGGUGAAAUUCUUAGAUAUUAGGAGGAACACCGGUGGCGAAGGCGAUCAUCUGGGCUACAACUGACGCUGAUGCACGAAAGCGUGGGGAGCAAACAGGAUUAGAUACCCUGGUAGUCCACGCCGUAAACGAUGAGUGCUAGAUAUCGGAAGAUUUUCUUUCGGUUUCGCAGCUAACGCAUUAAGCACUCCGCCUGGGGAGUACGGUCGCAAGAUUAAAACUCAAAGGAAUUGACGGGGG